RNAcentral lists this ribosomal RNA (549 nucleotides) under uncultured Glomeromycotina. RNAcentral's name for it is "SSU rRNA". It matches the Rfam family "Eukaryotic small subunit ribosomal RNA", at positions 548 to 1098 of the family's 1831-position model. Lineage: Eukaryota; Fungi; Glomeromycota. The record is from RNAcentral.
UUGGAGGGCAAGUCUGGUGCCAGCAGCCGCGGUAAUUCCAGCUCCAAUAGCGUAUAUUAAAGUUGUUGCAGUUAAAAAGCUCGUAGUUGAAUUUCGAGAUCAGUACGCUGGUCGUGCCUUCGGUAUGCACUGGUGUCACUGGUUUCUCCCUUCUGAAGAACCGUCAUGUCAUUAAGUUGGUGUGGCGGGGAAUCAGGACUGUUACUUUGAAAAAAUUAGAGUGUUUAAAGCAGGCUCGCGCUUGAAUACAUUAGCAUGGAAUAAUGAAAUAGGACGUUUGACCCUAUUUUGUUGGUUUCUAGGAUCGACGUAAUGAUUAAUAGGGAUAGUUGGGGGCAUUAGUAUUCAAUUGUCAGAGGUGAAGUUCUUGGAUUUAUUGAAGACUAACUACUGCGAAAGCAAUUGCCAAGGAUGUUUUCAUUAAUCAAGAACGAAAGUUAGGGGAUCGAAGACGAUCAGAUACCGUCGUAGUCUUAACCAUAAACUAUGCCGACUAGGGACCGGAUGAUGUUAAUUUUUUAAUGACUCAUUCGGCGCCUUACGGGAAAC